GACGAACGCUGGCGGCGUGCUUAACACAUGCAAGUCGAACGGUGAAGGGACCGGUUUUUGCUGGUUCUGGAUGAGUGGCGAACGGGUGAGUAACACGUGAGUAACCUGCCCCCUUCUUCUGGAUAACCGCAUGAAAGUGUGGCUAAUACGGGAUAUUCUGCGCCUGCUGCAUGGUGGGUGUGGGAAAGAUAUUGUUUCGGUGGGGGAUGGGCUCGCGGCCUAUCAGCUUGUUGGUGGGGUGAUGGCCUACCAAGGCGGUGACGGGUAGCCGGCCUGAGAGGGUGGACGGUCACACUGGGACUGAGACACGGCCCAGACUCCUACGGGAGGCAGCAGUGGGGGAUAUUGCACAAUGGGCGCAAGCCUGAUGCAGCGACGCCGCGUGAGGGAUGGAGGCCUUCGGGUUGUAAACCUCUUUCGCCAGUGAAGCAGGCCUGUCCCUUUUGUGGGUGGGUUGACGGUAGCUGGAUAAGAAGCGCCGGCUAACUACGUG
RNAcentral lists this ribosomal RNA (493 nucleotides) under uncultured bacterium. RNAcentral's name for it is "partial 16S ribosomal RNA". It matches the Rfam family "Bacterial small subunit ribosomal RNA", at positions 28 to 507 of the family's 1533-position model. The record is from RNAcentral.